CCUACGGGUGGCAGCAGUCGAGAAUCAUUCACAAUGGGGGAAACCCUGAUGGUGCGACGCCGCGUGGGGGAAUGAAGGUCUUCGGAUUGUAAACCCCUGUCAUGUGGGAGCAAAUUAAAAAGAUAGUACCACAAGAGGAAGAGACGGCUAACUCUGUGCCAGCAGCCGCGGUAAUACAGAGGUCUCAAGCGUUGUUCGGAAUCACUGGGCGUAAGGCGUGAGUAGGCUGUUUCGUAAGUCGUGUGUGAAAGGCGCGGGCUCAACCCGCGGACGGCACAUUAUACUGCGAGAAUAGAGUAAUGGAGGGGGAACCGGAAUUCGCGGUGUAGCAGGGAAAUGCGUAGAUAUCGAGAGGAACACUCGUGGCGAAGGCGGGUUCCUGGACAUUAACUGACGCUGAGGCACGAAGGCCAGGGGAGCGAAAGGGAUUAGAUACCCGUGUAGUC
This 446-nucleotide ribosomal RNA is filed under the name uncultured bacterium. Its description in RNAcentral is "partial 16S ribosomal RNA". It matches the Rfam family "Bacterial small subunit ribosomal RNA", at positions 338 to 795 of the family's 1533-position model. The record is from RNAcentral.